AUACGGAGGGGGCUAGCGUUGUUCGGAAUUACUGGGCGUAAAGCGCGCGUAGGCGGGUUGGCAAGUUGAAGGUGAAAUCCCAGGGCUCAACCCUGGAACUGCCUCCAAAACUGCCAGUCUUGAGUUCGGAAGAGGUGAGUUGAAUUCCUAGUGUAGAGGUGAAAUUCGUAGAUAUUAGGAAGAACACCAGUGGCGAAGGCGACUCACUGGUCCGAUACUGACGCUGAGGUGCGAAAGCGUGGGGAGCAAACAGGAUUAGAUACCCCAGUAGUCC
Molecule: ribosomal RNA, 274 nt
Filed under: uncultured bacterium
Lineage: Bacteria
Description: partial 16S ribosomal RNA
Rfam family: Bacterial small subunit ribosomal RNA
Source: RNAcentral